Molecule: ribosomal RNA, 253 nt
Filed under: uncultured bacterium
Lineage: Bacteria
Description: partial 16S ribosomal RNA
Rfam family: Bacterial small subunit ribosomal RNA
Source: RNAcentral
UACGUAGGGUCCAAGCGUUAUCCGGAAUCACUGGGCGUAAAGCGUGCGUAGGCGGCGUGUUAAGUGUGAUGUUAAAUCGUGGGGCUCAACCCUGUCGUUGCAUCGCAUACUGGCAUGCUUGAGGAAGGCAGAGGCAAGUGGAAUUGGCAGUGUAGCAGUGAAAUGCGUAGAGAUUGCCAGGAACACCAAUGGCGAAGGCAGCUUGCUGGGCCUUUUCUGACGCUGAGGUACGAAAGCGUGGGGAGCGAACAGG